Molecule: transfer RNA, 59 nt
Filed under: Catenulispora pinistramenti
Lineage: Bacteria; Bacillati; Actinomycetota; Actinomycetes; Catenulisporales; Catenulisporaceae
Description: Catenulispora sp. NL8 tRNA-Ser
Source: RNAcentral
AGGAGAGGGUUACUCCGCCUAUCAAGCGGGCAACGCAGGUUCGAAUCCUGCCGGCCCUG